This 67-nucleotide transfer RNA is filed under the name Aldisa cooperi. RNAcentral's name for it is "tRNA-Asn". The record is from RNAcentral. Lineage: Eukaryota; Metazoa; Mollusca; Gastropoda; Nudibranchia; Dorididae.
AAGGAUUGAAGCUAAUGCAUUUAAUUGUUGAUUAAAAUUUUGCAUAUAAUUUUAUAUGUCUUCCUUG